GUUUGCUAUAUAUAUCCAUAAACUCAUCAAACAAUAGGGUUUUGAUCAACAUAUGUGUUAACAAUAUUUCAUAUACUUUGUGAUCCAUCUAACAUAUACUGAGAUUUCACAAGUACGGUUAACAUAAAUGUUUUGAUCAGCAUAUGUGAUGAACUCCAUAAACUCAUCAAACACUCACUGCAUGUGCUGAACAUGGCAAUACUAAGACUACACUAAGAAAUGAAACGAACAGGAAAAACCGAAGCAAAAUCAUUAAGCCUACCAUUUCUAGGGUUUUCUAGUUAAUCUUGAAAUCAGAAGCAAAUUCCUUGAUCCAUAUUCCAAACUCCUCCAUCUUAAACAAGCAGAUAACGAUAACUUUUGAGCUAUGAAGUUUUAAAUAAGAUAAUGAGUGAUUUCUCAUACGCGUACAGUAUCCUGAUAACUACUUAAUUUUCUUCAAUAGAAGCUUCACGCCCAUAUGGUUAAGCACGAACCAGCAGACGCAAAAUGAAUCUACAAAGGGUUGCUAGUGGAAGAAGAGCUGAAACUAGAAAGAUCUGUCCAUGCGGUAGCACCCCAAUACUGAUCAUGCCCUGGAAUUCCCAAAAACUGCCUCGACAAAUUCAGCUCCUGAUUAUUAUUAUUGUCUUCCAUUUUCACUGAGGCCAACUGAGUAGUUAAAGAAGUGGAUAACCUCGGCCUGAGCUGACCCAUUCCACUACCAUAACCUGAUUGUUCAGCGCCACCUUCAAAUGGGUAUAACCCAGAAGAAGAAGAAGAAUCUAGUCCCCCAAAAAAGGGAAAUUGCUGCCCCUGCUGAAAUUUCCAGUGGUCCAAACCACCCACUGACAAAAGAGAACCACCACUACCACCAAUACCAGCACCGGCAAAAGCACUCCCUAUUUGAAAAUUAAAGUCGCUUGGUCCUCCAACUGGAGCCGAAAGGGAACCGUAAUUUAACCCAAUAUUCCCAGUAGCAAAUUCUGUAAGAUGAUGCAGAGGAGCCAUGAACCUGAGUGGUGGAACCUGUGGUCCGAGGCCUAAUAUGUCGCUGGUUCCGCUAUUAGAAGAGACGGUACUUGAGGAACCGGAACCCGUUGGGCGAUCGCCACUGACGGGAGAUUUUGAGCUUCUCCCUUUACUUCUCUUGUUCCUCCUGCAGCCACCUCCAACGGGAACAUUUCUUAGGGCACCCCCUCUGGUCCAGUACCUUCUACAGGUUUUGCAGAAGUGUCGAGGCUGAGAGAGGCUAUAGUUGUUGAAGUAGCAAAACUUAGUGUUAGUGGAUUCACAUCUUGGACAUUUUAAUGCAGCCUCUGGCAUGGGUAUGUUAGCUAACCGGGCUCGAUCCGCCAUGGAACCAGGGCGGAUGGAACCUGCACCAACACUUCCAUGAGGUUGGGGAGGAGGUGGUGGCGGUGGUGGU
This 1408-nucleotide unclassified non-coding RNA is filed under the name Hevea brasiliensis (rubber tree). The record is from RNAcentral. Lineage: Eukaryota; Viridiplantae; Streptophyta; Magnoliopsida; Malpighiales; Euphorbiaceae.